RNAcentral lists this ribosomal RNA (255 nucleotides) under uncultured bacterium. Its description in RNAcentral is "partial 16S ribosomal RNA". It matches the Rfam family "Bacterial small subunit ribosomal RNA", at positions 8 to 257 of the family's 1533-position model. The record is from RNAcentral.
AGAGUUUGAUCCUGGCUCAGGAUGAACGCUAGCGGCAGGCUUAACACAUGCAAGUCGAAGGGCAGCGGGGUGUAGCAAUACACUGCCGGCGACCGGCGCACGGGUGCGUAACGCGUAUGCAACCUACCCAUAACAGGGGCAGUAACACUGAGAAAUUGGUACUAAUUCCCCAUAACAUUCGAAGAGGCAUCUCUUUGGGUUGAAAACUCCGGUAGGUUAUGGAUGGGCAUGCGUUGUAUUAGCUAGUUGGUGGGG